AUUGAACGCUGGCGGCAUGCUUUACACAUGCAAGUCGGACGGCAGCACAGAGAAGCUUGCUUCUUGGGUGGCGAGUGGCGAACGGGUGAGCAAUAUAUCGGAACGUACCGAGUAAUGGGGGAUAACUAAUCGAAAGAUUAGCUAAUACCGCAUAUUCUCUGAGGAGGAAAGCAGGGGACCUUCGGGCCUUGCGUUAUUCGAGCGGCCGAUAUCUGAUUAGCUAGUUGGUGGGGUAAAGGCCUACCAAGGCGACGAUCAGUAGCGGGUCUGAGAGGAUGAUCCGCCACACUGGGACUGAGACACGGCCCAGACUCCUACGGGAGGCAGCA
RNAcentral lists this ribosomal RNA (329 nucleotides) under Neisseria subflava. Its description in RNAcentral is "bacterial SSU rRNA". It matches the Rfam family "Bacterial small subunit ribosomal RNA", at positions 30 to 353 of the family's 1533-position model. Lineage: Bacteria; Pseudomonadati; Pseudomonadota; Betaproteobacteria; Neisseriales; Neisseriaceae. The record is from RNAcentral.